UACAGAGGUCCCAAGCGUUGUUCGGAUUCACUGGGCGUAAAGGGUGCGUAGGUGGCCAGGUAAGUUCGGUGUGAAAGCUCGGAGCUUAACUCCGAAAAGGCAUUGAAUACUAUCUGGCUGGAGGGUCGGAGGGGAGACUGGAAUUCUCGGUGUAGCAGUGAAAUGCGUAGAUAUCGAGAGGAACACCAGUGGCGAAGGCGAGUCUCUGGACGACAUCUGACACUGAGGCACGAAAGCUAGGGGAGCAAACAGG
Molecule: ribosomal RNA, 253 nt
Filed under: uncultured bacterium
Lineage: Bacteria
Description: partial 16S ribosomal RNA
Rfam family: Bacterial small subunit ribosomal RNA
Source: RNAcentral